RNAcentral lists this ribosomal RNA (628 nucleotides) under Staphylococcus aureus. RNAcentral's name for it is "partial 23S ribosomal RNA". It matches the Rfam family "Bacterial large subunit ribosomal RNA", at positions 1603 to 2232 of the family's 2925-position model. The record is from RNAcentral. Lineage: Bacteria; Bacillati; Bacillota; Bacilli; Caryophanales; Staphylococcaceae.
CACUGCCGAGAAAAGCCUCUAGAUAGAAAAUAGGUGCCCGUACCGCAAACCGACACAGGUAGUCAAGAUGAGAAUUCUAAGGUGAGCGAGCGAACUCUCGUUAAGGAACUCGGCAAAAUGACCCCGUAACUUCGGGAGAAGGGGUGCUCUUUAGGGUUAACGCCCAGAAGAGCCGCAGUGAAUAGGCCCAAGCGACUGUUUAUCAAAAACACAGGUCUCUGCUAAACCGUAAGGUGAUGUAUAGGGGCUGACGCCUGCCCGGUGCUGGAAGGUUAAGAGGAGUGGUUAGCUUCUGCGAAGCUACGAAUCGAAGCCCCAGUAAACGGCGGCCGUAACUAUAACGGUCCUAAGGUAGCGAAAUUCCUUGUCGGGUAAGUUCCGACCCGCACGAAAGGCGUAACGAUUUGGGCACUGUCUCAACGAGAGACUCGGUGAAAUCAUAGUACCUGUGAAGAUGCAGGUUACCCGCGACAGGACGGAAAGACCCCGUGGAGCUUUACUGUAGCCUGAUAUUGAAAUUCGGCACAGCUUGUACAGGAUAGGUAGGAGCCUUUGAAACGUGAGCGCUAGCUUACGUGGAGGCGCUGGUGGGAUACUACCCUAGCUGUGUUGGCUUUCUAACCCGCAC